Molecule: non-coding RNA, 23 nt
Filed under: Mus musculus (house mouse)
Lineage: Eukaryota; Metazoa; Chordata; Mammalia; Rodentia; Muridae
Source: RNAcentral
UAAAAUGAUCUUGCCUAACUUUC